ACACCAGAUCGAGAUAAUCUCCAUCAUCAGAAGGGUUGGGCUUUGAGAUACACAAACUAUAUUCAUACUUGUUGCUGAGGCAUGUGGGCAGGGGCAGAAGAGAGAGAUAUUAAUGCAAGACUGCAGAGAGAGAGAGGAGGCAGAAGCAAACAGCAGAAGCAAACAGAAGAAGCAGACAGGACGAUAUAACCAAUAGAGUUUCUUAACUGCAUGGUGGUGUUUGUCUACUCUGUCGUAUCGGGAGAUGUCGGAAGGUCGUAAAGGUGACAAUAACUAUGGUGGUCCAAGACACUUCUAAGCCAGGUGGGAUUCAGAGCCAGAGAAGACAAGUGGACUGGAGGCGGGAGCUCAAGCUCUCAGAGCCAAGAGGAGACAGAUUCAUUUCAUCUUCAUCAGCCUCAUGGUGGCUGGCCUGGAUUCCUGCACUUCUCCACUGAAACCAAGACUCUGGAAGGCCUCUAAUAAAGCUAGUCUGGGCCCCAGGCAAGGAGACAAGAUUGUGAAGGAGAUAAUAAAGGAUUUGGACUUUAAUACCUGGCUAUUAAUUUGUGAUAAUUAAUUUGCUGAAAGGAAGGCUGCCCCAAAGACCUCCAGAAAACCAACCAAGAACACGACAAAUACUGAUCUUGAAAUGGAAAAGCACCCCAAAAUGGGACUGUGAGAAACAUAAUCUUGAAUCUUUGUAGUUAGAAGUUUAUUACUAGUUCUUCACACCCUAAUGCAGAUGAUAUUUUUACACCCCCAGAUGUGCUGUCCUGAAAAACUUAAGACCUUGACAACUUGAUAAACUUAAAGAAAUACUGUCUUACUGCUGUCUGGGAAUGAUACCCUUAGAGUGAUAACUUUUGCCUUCUGUUUAGAAUAGAAAUUCCUUUUAUUAUGACAAAUGUAUCAAGAAACAUUUUGAUGUCUUUCUCUUCUUUCUAUAAAUAUGUGCUGCUGAGAUCACUCAUUACUGACCUCUCCUGUCUUGGUAUUGGGGGAUCAGUCCUGGCCAGUAAUAAAUGCUCUUAAAACUUCA
Long non-coding RNA from Antechinus flavipes (yellow-footed antechinus), 1021 nucleotides. RefSeq lists it as uncharacterized. The record is from RefSeq and is a predicted model, not a curated record. The transcript is spliced from 2 exons. NCBI's taxonomy places the organism in Eukaryota, Metazoa, Chordata, Mammalia, Dasyuromorphia, Dasyuridae.